GAUGAACGCUAGCUACAGGCUUAACACAUGCAAGUCGCGGGGCAGCAUGGGGGUUGCUUGCAAUCCCCGAUGGCGACCGGCGCACGGGUGAGUAACGCGUAUUCAACCUGCCCUUCACCACGGGAUAACCCGGCGAAAGUCGGACUAAUACCGUAUGUUGUCCAUUGACGGCAUCCGAUUUGGACGAAAGGCUUGGCGGUGAGGGAUGGGGAUGCGUCCGAUUAGCCAGACGGCGGGGUAACGGCCCACCGUGGCUACGAUCGGUAGGGGUUCUGAGAGGAAGGUCCCCCACACUGGAACUGAGACACGGUCCAGACUCCUACGGGAGGCAGCAGUGAGGAAGAUUGGUCAAUGGGCGUAAGCCUGAACCAGCCAAGUAGCGUGCAGGAUGACGGCCCUAUGGGUUGUAAACUGCUUUUAUGCGGGGAUAAAGUGGCCCACGUGUGGGCUUUUGCAGGUACCGCAUGAAUAAGAACCGGCUAAUUCCGUG
RNAcentral lists this ribosomal RNA (490 nucleotides) under uncultured bacterium. RNAcentral describes it as "partial 16S ribosomal RNA". It matches the Rfam family "Bacterial small subunit ribosomal RNA", at positions 28 to 507 of the family's 1533-position model. The record is from RNAcentral.